RNAcentral lists this ribosomal RNA (524 nucleotides) under uncultured bacterium. Its description in RNAcentral is "partial 16S ribosomal RNA". It matches the Rfam family "Bacterial small subunit ribosomal RNA", at positions 28 to 523 of the family's 1533-position model. The record is from RNAcentral.
GACGAACGCUGGCGGCGUGCCUAAUACAUGCAAGUCGAGCGCAGGAAAUCGACGGAACCCUUCGGGGGGAAGUCGACGGAAUGAGCGGCGGACGGGUGAGUAACACGUAAAGAACCUGCCCUCAGGUCUGGGAUAACCACGAGAAAUCGGGGCUAAUACCGGAUGGGUCAUCGGACCGCAUGGUCCGAGGAUGAAAGGCGCUUCGGCGUCGCCUGGGGAUGGCUUUGCGGUGCAUUAGCUAGUUGGUGGGGUAAUGGCCCACCAAGGCGACGGUGCAUAGCCGACCUGAGAGGGUGAUCGGCCACACUGGGACUGAGACACGGCCCAGACUCCUACGGGAGGCAGCAGUAGGGAAUCUUCCACAAUGGACGAAAGUCUGAUGGAGCAACGCCGCGUGAACGAUGAAGGCCUUCGGGUCGUAAAGUUCUGUUGUAAGGGAAGAACCAGUGCCGCAGGCAAUGGCGGCACCUUGACGGUACCUUGCGAGAAAGCCACGGCUAACUACGUGCCAGCCGCCGCAGUAA